GCCUCCCAUAUCACGUAACACACGCCCAACUUCUACAUCAGCUCCUCCAAGACCACGGACCAGGCGCACCUCGUUUUGUUCAGUACUCUUUUCAGCCUGGGCCCCAAGUAAAUCCCGGAGGUCCCGAUGAUAUCCCACCUUGG
Long non-coding RNA from Rhipicephalus sanguineus (brown dog tick), 143 nucleotides. RefSeq lists it as uncharacterized. The transcript is spliced from 3 exons. The record is from RefSeq and is a predicted model, not a curated record. NCBI's taxonomy places the organism in Eukaryota, Metazoa, Arthropoda, Arachnida, Ixodida, Ixodidae.